This 103-nucleotide small RNA is filed under the name Rhizobium sp. SG741. Its description in RNAcentral is "sRNA ar35". It matches the Rfam family "Alphaproteobacterial sRNA ar35". The record is from RNAcentral. Lineage: Bacteria; Pseudomonadati; Pseudomonadota; Alphaproteobacteria; Hyphomicrobiales; Rhizobiaceae.
AAGCCAUGUAAGCCAUUUGUUUCCGAUCUUUGGCCACGGAUUUACUGGCAUCGAUCGUCGAGACAAUGAAGGAAGAGGUCGGGCCAGCCCGGCCUUUUUUGUU